This 535-nucleotide ribosomal RNA is filed under the name uncultured bacterium. RNAcentral's name for it is "bacterial SSU rRNA". It matches the Rfam family "Bacterial small subunit ribosomal RNA", at positions 975 to 1509 of the family's 1533-position model. The record is from RNAcentral.
CGGUCCUUGACAUACUAAGAACUUUCCAGAGAUGGAUUGGUGCCUUCGGGAACUUAGAUACAGGUGCUGCAUGGCUGUCGUCAGCUCGUGUCGUGAGAUGUUGGGUUAAGUCCCGCAACGAGCGCAACCCUUUUCCUUAUUUGCCAGCGGGUCAUGCCGGGAACUUUAAGGAUACUGCCAGUGACAAACUGGAGGAAGGCGGGGACGACGUCAAGUCAUCAUGGCCCUUACGGCCAGGGCUACACACGUGCUACAAUGGUCGGUACAAAGGGUUGCUACCUCGCGAGAGGAUGCUAAUCUCAAAAAGCCGAUCGUAGUCCGGAUCGCAGUCUGCAACUCGACUGCGUGAAGUCGGAAUCGCUAGUAAUCGCGGAUCAGAAUGCCGCGGUGAAUACGUUCCCGGGCCUUGUACACACCGCCCGUCACACCAUGGGAGUUUGUUGCACCAGAAGUAGGUAGUCUAACCGCAAGGAGGACGCUUACCACGGUGUGGCCGAUGACUGGGGUGAAGUCGUAACAAGGUAAGCGUAGAUGA